RNAcentral lists this ribosomal RNA (495 nucleotides) under Acinetobacter calcoaceticus. Its description in RNAcentral is "bacterial SSU rRNA". It matches the Rfam family "Bacterial small subunit ribosomal RNA", at positions 89 to 579 of the family's 1533-position model. Lineage: Bacteria; Pseudomonadati; Pseudomonadota; Gammaproteobacteria; Moraxellales; Moraxellaceae. The record is from RNAcentral.
CACUUAGCGGCGGACGGGUGAGUAAUGCUUAGGAAUCUGCCUAUUAGUGGGGGACAACAUUUCGAAAGGAAUGCUAAUACCGCAUACGUCCUACGGGAGAAAGCAGGGGAUCUUCGGACCUUGCGCUAAUAGAUGAGCCUAAGUCGGAUUAGCUAGUUGGUGGGGUAAAGGCCUACCAAGGCGACGAUCUGUAGCGGGUCUGAGAGGAUGAUCCGCCACACUGGGACUGAGACACGGCCCAGACUCCUACGGGAGGCAGCAGUGGGGAAUAUUGGACAAUGGGCGCAAGCCUGAUCCAGCCAUGCCGCGUGUGUGAAGAAGGCCUUAUGGUUGUAAAGCACUUUAAGCGAGGAGGAGGCUACUGAAGUUAAUACCUUCAGAUAGUGGACGUUACUCGCAGAAUAAGCACCGGCUAACUCUGUGCCAGCAGCCGCGGUAAUACAGAGGGUGCAAGCGUUAAUCGGAUUUACUGGGCGUAAAGCGCGCGUAGGCGGC